UGCAAGUCGAACGAUGAAGCCCAGCUUGCUGGGUGGAUUAGUGGCGAACGGGUGAGUAACACGUGAGUAACCUGCCCCUGACUCUGGGAUAAGCCCGGGAAACUGGGUCUAAUACCGGAUAUGACCAUGGGACGCAUGUCUUGUGGUGGAAAGAUUUAUCGGUUGGGGAUGGACUCGCGGCCUAUCAGCUUGUUGGUGAGGUAAUGGCUCACCAAGGCGACGACGGGUAGCCGGCCUGAGAGGGUGACCGGCCACACUGGGACUGAGACACGGCCCAGACUCCUACGGGAGGCAGCAGUGGGGAAUAUUGCACAAUGGGCGCAAGCCUGAUGCAGCGACGCCGCGUGAGGGAUGACGGCCUUCGGGUUGUAAACCUCUUUCAGUAGGGAAGAAGCGAGAGUGACGGUACCUGCAGAAGAAGCGCCGGCUAACUACGUGCCAGCAGCCGCGGUAAUACGUAGGGCGCAAGCGUUAUCCGGAUUUAUUGGGCGUAAAGAGCUCGUAGGCGGUUUGUCGCGUCUGCCGUGAAAGUCCGAGGCUCAACCUCGGAUCUGCGGUGGGUACGGGCAGACUAGAGUGAUGUAGGGGAGACUGGAAUUCCUGGUGUAGCGGUGAAAUGCGCAGAUAUCAGGAGGAACACCGAUGGCGAAGGCAGGUCUUCUGGGCAUUUACUGACGCUGAGGAGCGAAAGCAUG
RNAcentral lists this ribosomal RNA (695 nucleotides) under Arthrobacter sp. Y2-2. RNAcentral's name for it is "bacterial SSU rRNA". It matches the Rfam family "Bacterial small subunit ribosomal RNA", at positions 56 to 763 of the family's 1533-position model. Lineage: Bacteria; Bacillati; Actinomycetota; Actinomycetes; Micrococcales; Micrococcaceae. The record is from RNAcentral.